CAGUAGCCGCGGGAAAACGAAGGGGGCUAGCGUUGCUCGGAAUCACUGGGCGUAAAGGACGCGUAGGCGGAUUAUCAAGUCUCUUGUGAAAUCUAACGGCUUAACCGUUAAACUGCUUGGGAAACUGAUAAUCUAGAGUAAGGGAGAGGCAGAUGGAAUUCUUGGUGUAGGGGUAAAAUCCGUAGAGAUCAAGAAGAAUACCCAUUGCGAAAGCGAUCUGCUGGAACUUAACUGACGCUAAUGCGUGAAAGCGUGGGGAGCAAACAGGUUUAGAUACCCCGGUAGUCCCUUCUCUUAUACA
This 301-nucleotide ribosomal RNA is filed under the name uncultured bacterium. Its description in RNAcentral is "partial 16S ribosomal RNA". It matches the Rfam family "Bacterial small subunit ribosomal RNA", at positions 509 to 809 of the family's 1533-position model. The record is from RNAcentral.